This 468-nucleotide ribosomal RNA is filed under the name uncultured bacterium. Its description in RNAcentral is "partial 16S ribosomal RNA". It matches the Rfam family "Bacterial small subunit ribosomal RNA", at positions 28 to 507 of the family's 1533-position model. The record is from RNAcentral.
GACGAACGCUGGCGGCGUGCUUAACACAUGCAAGUCGAACGGAAAGGCCCUGCUUUUGUGGGGUGCUCGAGUGGCGAAAGGGUGAGUAACACGUGAGUAACCUGCCCUUGACUUUGGGAUAACUUCAGGAAACUGGGGCUAAUACCGGAUAGGAGCUCCUGCUGCAUGGUGGGGGUUGGAAAGUUUCGGCGGUUGGGGAUGGACUCGCGGCUUAUCAGCUUGUUGGUGGGGUAGUGGCUUACCAAGGCUUUGACGGGUAGCCGGCCUGAGAGGGUGACCGGCAACAUUGGGACUGAGAUACGGCCCAGACUCCUACGGGAGGCAGCAGUGGGGAAUAUUGCACAAUGGGCGGAAGCCUGAUGCAGCAACGCCGCGUGCGGGAUGACGGCCUUCGGGUUGUAAACCGCUUUCGCCUGUGACGAAGCGUGAGUGACGGUAAUGGGUAAAGAAGCACCGGCUAACUACGUG